ACACUGCAGCGGCUUCGCCUGUUCUGAGUACUGCUGGGCCAAGUUGAAUGGUUACCCUCUGCAGCUCACCACACAUGGCUCACCACUGUCUUCCUGUAACAGACGAUAUUUUCAUAUUGUGUAUGACCUCUGUGGGCCAAACUGCUGUGGAAUCUAACUGUAACUAAGGAGUUACAAAACCAGGUCAGAAAAGAGUUAGACAUGGAUGAGAAGACAUCCCAGAGAAGUGUUGGACAUCUGGAUGUACAUUCAGUAAUUGGAAAAGUAACAACUCUGCUCCCAGAUGAUCAGCAAUCGGGGUCUGCAUGUUGUUUGAAUACUGCUCGACUAGCUGGGGCAAUGCACCAUUGGUCUUAGCCACUUCUGUAGAUGUGGUUGUGUUUCUAAACUUUCUUCCAGUGGUAAAGAACAGGUACUAUAUUUUUCUUGCUUAAAACUUUUUGGUAGGGUGCAGCACCAUCAACUCAGGCAUGCUUUCUGUAAAUGUGGAUAGUGGUUAAAAAACAAAACAAAAAGCAAACCCCAAAACCUUCCUAGAAGUUGCCAGAUAGGACAGCUGAAGGGAAUGUUAUUAUGACUAAGAGGCUGGAUUCACUGCACAAAACAGCUAUUUCUAGUGAUAAAGCAUAAAGGUUAAACAACGGAGGACAAGAUUGCCAGAUGUAAAAUGGAAAGUUUCCAAUUUAGGAGCAGCAGAGGAAGAACAUGAAUUAAUAAGCAAGGAGCAAAUUAGCAUUAUAAAAAUCAUCCAAGCCAAACCAAAUGCCAUUGAAAAUAAACUCAGGCACUCUCCUCCUCCUCUUCUGCUCCCUGCAUUCCAAGGAGGAUUGAAUUUAGAAUAACCAUGGGGAAUUUUAGAGAAAUCUUACACUAAAAUGCUGAACAAAGGCUUUAAAAGGUAGAGACACUGUAUGUGCUUCAAAACCACUAUUUCUUUCUUUAUCAUGCUAGAUUCUUCUUCAGUACUUCUGUCUGAAAAAGAAAUAAAUGUUUUGGACUUAA
Harpia harpyja (harpy eagle) is the source of this 1002-nucleotide long non-coding RNA. RefSeq lists it as uncharacterized. Lineage: Eukaryota; Metazoa; Chordata; Aves; Accipitriformes; Accipitridae. The transcript has 2 exons. The record is from RefSeq and is a predicted model, not a curated record.